AUUGAACGCUGGCGGCAUGCCUUACACAUGCAAGUCGAACGGUAACAGGUCUUCGGAUGCUGACGAGUGGCGAACGGGUGAGUAAUACAUCGGAACGUGCCUAGUAGUGGGGGAUAACUACUCGAAAGAGUGGCUAAUACCGCAUGAGAUCUACGGAUGAAAGCAGGGGAGUGCAAGACCUUGUGCUACUAGAGCGGCCGAUGGCAGAUUAGGUAGUUGGUGGGAUAAAAGCUUACCAAGCCGACGAUCUGUAGCUGGUCUGAGAGGACGAUCAGCCACACUGGGACUGAGACACGGCCCAGACUCCUACGGGAGGCAGCAGUGGGGAAUUUUGGACAAUGGGCGAAAGCCUGAUCCAGCAAUGCCGCGUGCAGGAUGAAGGCCUUCGGGUUGUAAACUGCUUUUGUACGGAACGAAAAGCCCCGGGUUAAUACCCUGGGGUCAUGACGGUACCGUAAGAAUAAGCACCGGCUAACUACGUGCCAGCCGCCGCGGUAA
This 498-nucleotide ribosomal RNA is filed under the name uncultured bacterium. RNAcentral describes it as "partial 16S ribosomal RNA". It matches the Rfam family "Bacterial small subunit ribosomal RNA", at positions 30 to 523 of the family's 1533-position model. The record is from RNAcentral.